Molecule: ribosomal RNA, 505 nt
Filed under: uncultured bacterium
Lineage: Bacteria
Description: partial 16S ribosomal RNA
Rfam family: Bacterial small subunit ribosomal RNA
Source: RNAcentral
GACGAACGCUGGCGGCGUGCCUAAUACAUGCAAGUAGAACGCACAGUUUAUACCGUAGCUUGCUACACCAUAGACUGUGAGUUGCGAACGGGUGAGUAACGCGUAGGUAACCUGCCUGGUAGCGGGGGAUAACUAUUGGAAACGAUAGCUAAUACCGCAUAAUAUUAAUUAUUGCAUGAUAAUUAAUUGAAAGGUGCAAUUGCACCACUACCAGAUGGACCUGCGUUGUAUUAGCUAGUAGGUGAGGUAACGGCUCACCUAGGCGACGAUACAUAGCCGACCUGAGAGGGUGAUCGGCCACACUGGGACGGAGACACGGCCCAGACUCCUACGGGAGGCAGCAGUAGGGAAUCUUCGGCAAUGGACGAAAGUCUGACCGAGCAACGCCGCGUGAGUGAAGAAGGGUUUCGGAUCGUAAAGCUCUGUUGUAAGAGAAGAACGGGUGUGAGAGUGGAAAGUUCACACUGUGACGGUAUCUUACCAGAAAGGGACGGCUAACUACGUG